Molecule: ribosomal RNA, 250 nt
Filed under: uncultured bacterium
Lineage: Bacteria
Description: partial 16S ribosomal RNA
Rfam family: Bacterial small subunit ribosomal RNA
Source: RNAcentral
UACAGAGGGGCAAGCGUUGUUCGGAAUUACUGGCGUAAAGGGCGCGUAGGCGGCCCGCUAAGUCGAACGUGAAAUCCCCGAGCUCAACUCGGGAACUGCGUCCGAUACUGGCGGGCUUGAAUCCGGGAGAGGAUGCGGAAUUCCAGGUGUAGCGGUGAAAUGCGUAGAUAUCUGGAGGAACACCGGUGGCGAAGGCGGCAUCCUGGACCGGCAUUGACGCUGAGGCGCGAAAGCUAGGGGAGCAAACGGG